GAAAAAAAGGUUGGAUUCAUUCUGUAGUAGGUCGAAUUCGAAAAUAAACAUUCGGCAAAUGAGUUUCUGAACUUAAAGGUACUCAAGAUCUACUGAUUCAAGUACGAGAUGGCUGGACUGAGAAUUAUGACCUGGUUUUUCGUGUUUGUAAUUGGAGAAGUAAUGAAAAUCAACGCACUAAGUGUUUUCUACAUCGAAAUGCUGGAAAACAAUGAUGCACUCGAAAGAACACUAGUGGAGGAAUCCAUUCAGAUCGUCAAUAAGAAGUUGCUGGCAAACACGACCAUGAUWAAACUAAGCCUUCAAAACAACACCCAACGUCCUAAUGACGACAUCUCUA
Long non-coding RNA from Exaiptasia diaphana, 340 nucleotides. RefSeq lists it as uncharacterized. The record is from RefSeq and is a predicted model, not a curated record. NCBI's taxonomy places the organism in Eukaryota, Metazoa, Cnidaria, Anthozoa, Actiniaria, Aiptasiidae. The transcript has 3 exons.